AACGAACGCUGGCGGCAUGCCUAACACAUGCAAGUCGAACGAAGGCUUCGGCCUUAGUGGCGCACGGGUGCGUAACGCGUGGGAAUCUGCCCUUUGGUUCGGAAUAACAGCUGGAAACGGCUGCUAAUACCGGAUGAUGACGAAAGUCCAAAGAUUUAUCGCCAGAGGAUGAGCCCGCGUUGGAUUAGGUAGUUGGUGGGGUAAAGGCCUACCAAGCCGGCGAUCCAUAGCUGGUCUGAGAGGAUGAUCAGCCACACUGGGACUGAGACACGGCCCAGAUCUUUAGGGGGGGGAGAAGGGGGGAAUAUGGGAAGAGGGGCGAAAGCCUGAAGCAGAAAGGCCGGGUAAGUGAGGAAGGACGGAGGGUUGAAAAGGUAUUUUACCCGGGAAGAAAAUGACGGAACGGGGAAAAAAAGCCCGGGCAAACCCCGG
RNAcentral lists this ribosomal RNA (432 nucleotides) under uncultured bacterium. RNAcentral describes it as "partial 16S ribosomal RNA". It matches the Rfam family "Bacterial small subunit ribosomal RNA", at positions 30 to 506 of the family's 1533-position model. The record is from RNAcentral.